This is a long non-coding RNA of Talpa occidentalis (Iberian mole), 253 nucleotides long. RefSeq lists it as uncharacterized. The record is from RefSeq and is a predicted model, not a curated record. Lineage: Eukaryota; Metazoa; Chordata; Mammalia; Eulipotyphla; Talpidae. The transcript has 3 exons.
GGCUCCCCACCAGCUCACAGCGUCCGGCCAGCGCUGAGAGUGCCUUUGGGUUUCCGGGUCGGCGGAUCGGGGCCUGAGUGAAGCAAGAUUUGAUGAUUCCUUGAAGAUCCUGAUUUGCAGCUGUGACAGAAUACCCUCUGGGAACCUGCCAGCCCUCCUGUCAGCACAGCCGCACAGCGAUGUAACUGAUAAGGUUGGAAUUAAGGGCACUGGGCCGUGCAACCACCAACGGAUCGAGCUUCUUGUGGAGAAG